UGCGUAGGUGGCGUCGUAAGUCGGGUGUGAAAUCUCGGGGCUUAACUCCGAAACUGCAUUCGAUACUGCGGUGCUUGAGGACUGGAGAGGAGACUGGAAUUUACGGUGUAGCAGUGAAAUGCGUAGAGAUCGUAAGGAAGACCAGUGGCGAAGGCGGGUCUCUGGACAGUUCCUGACACUGAGGCACGAAGGCCAAGGAGCAAACG
This 206-nucleotide ribosomal RNA is filed under the name uncultured bacterium. Its description in RNAcentral is "partial 16S ribosomal RNA". It matches the Rfam family "Bacterial small subunit ribosomal RNA", at positions 568 to 774 of the family's 1533-position model. The record is from RNAcentral.